This 230-nucleotide long non-coding RNA is filed under the name Elaeis guineensis (African oil palm). RNAcentral's name for it is "long non-coding RNA (EGUI_LNC000639)". The record is from RNAcentral. Lineage: Eukaryota; Viridiplantae; Streptophyta; Magnoliopsida; Arecales; Arecaceae.
UUGUCUUGAUAAAUGCCAUCGCAGUGGACCGGUCCCAAUCCUAUAGGCCAGUACAUAGGGUUAGGAGUGACUACACAAGGCAAGUAGGUGGAAAGUAUGAAUUUGACGGCAUUGGCUUUGUACUGAAGCAUGUACAAUAUUUGAGCAUUAACAAGGCGGAAAUAUGCCAAAGAGACGCUAUGCACAAAAUCAACAAGCUGAAGGCAGACAGAGGAUGCGCAUGGCGUCCC